UCCUGACCGUCCGAGCUUCCAUAAUACCAUCCGGACUUCUCCAAUAAUGGGCUCCUCCAUUCAUUUAUCGGACCACUCCAAACGCUCUUUGAGCUUCACUAUCAGCCGAUUUUCUACAGUGAUCGACUAUUCUCCGAAUCUCAGUCGAGACUUCUUCCGACCAUGAAUGACUUUACUCCGAACUACUUUCGGGCUUCAUCAAUGUUUGAGCUUCUCCAAUAGCAGGAC
Molecule: long non-coding RNA, 228 nt
Filed under: Elaeis guineensis (African oil palm)
Lineage: Eukaryota; Viridiplantae; Streptophyta; Magnoliopsida; Arecales; Arecaceae
Description: long non-coding RNA (EGUI_LNC071008)
Source: RNAcentral